CACGUAGGGCGCGAGCGUUGUCCGGAAUUAUUGGGCGUAAAGAGCUCGUAGGCGGCCUGUUGCGUCCGCUGUGAAAGCCCGGGGCUUAACCCCGGGUCGGCAGUGGAUACGGGCAGGCUAGAGGUGAGGUAGGGGAGAAUGGAAUUCCCGGUGUAGCGGUGAAAUGCGCAGAUAUCGGGAGGAACACCGGUGGCGAAGGCGGUUCUCUGGGCCUUACCUGACGCUGAGGAGCGAAAGCGUGGGGAGCGAACAGG
Molecule: ribosomal RNA, 254 nt
Filed under: uncultured bacterium
Lineage: Bacteria
Description: partial 16S ribosomal RNA
Rfam family: Bacterial small subunit ribosomal RNA
Source: RNAcentral